This 467-nucleotide ribosomal RNA is filed under the name uncultured bacterium. RNAcentral's name for it is "partial 16S ribosomal RNA". It matches the Rfam family "Bacterial small subunit ribosomal RNA", at positions 29 to 507 of the family's 1533-position model. The record is from RNAcentral.
ACGAACGCUGGCGGCGUGCUUAACACAUGCAAGUCGAACGGAAAGGCCCUGCUUUUGUGGGGUGCUCGAGUGGCGAACGGGUGAGUAACACGUGAGUAACCUGCCCUUGACUUUGGGAUAACUUCAGGAAACUGGGGCUAAUACCGGAUAGGAGCUCCUGCUGCAUGGUGGGGGUUGGAAAGUUUCGGCGGUUGGGGAUGGACUCGCGGCUUAUCAGCUUGUUGGUGGGGUAGUGGCUUACCAAGGCUUUGACGGGUAGCCGGCCUGAGAGGGUGACCGGCCACAUUGGGACUGAGAUACGGCCCAGACUCCUACGGGAGGCAGCAGUGGGGAAUAAUGCACAAUGGGCGGAAGCCUGAUGCAGCAACGCCGCGUGCGGGAUGACGGCCUUCGGGUUGUAAACCGCUUUCGCCUGUGACGAAGCGUGAGUGACGGUAAUGGGUAAAGAAGCACCGGCUAACUACGUG